This 788-nucleotide ribosomal RNA is filed under the name uncultured bacterium. Its description in RNAcentral is "bacterial SSU rRNA". It matches the Rfam family "Bacterial small subunit ribosomal RNA", at positions 60 to 869 of the family's 1533-position model. The record is from RNAcentral.
AGUCGACGAUUAAAGCACCUUCGGGUGUGUAUAGAGUGGCGAACGGGUGAGUAACACGUGACCAACCUGCCUCUUACAUUGGGACAACCAAAAGAAAUUCUGGCUAAUACCAAAUACUCCGCACAUAUCACAUGAUGUAUGCGGGAAAGCUUUUGCGGUAAGAGAUGGGGUCGCGGCCCAUUAGGUAGACGGCGGGGUAGAAGCCCACCGUGCCGAUGAUGGGUAGCCGGGUUGAGAGACCGACCGGCCACAUUGGGACUGAGAUACGGCCCAGACUCCUACGGGAGGCAGCAGUGGGGAAUAUUGCGCAAUGGGGGAAACCCUGACGCAGCAACGCCGCGUGCGGGAUGAAGGCCUUCGGGUUGUAAACCGCUUUCAGCAGGGAAGACAUCGACGGUACCUGCAGAAGAAGCCCCGGCUAACUACGUGCCAGCAGCCGCGGUAAUACGUAGGGGGCGAGCGUUAUCCGGAUUCAUUGGGCGUAAAGCGCGCGCAGGCGGUUGCUCAAGCGGAACCUCUAAUCUCGGGGCUUAACCUCGAGCCGGGUUCCGAACUGGACGACUCGAGUGCGGUAGAGGCAGAUGGAAUUCCCGGUGUAGCGGUGGAAUGCGCAGAUAUCGGGAAGAACACCAACGGCGAAGGCAGUCUGCUGGGCCGUCACUGACGCUGAGGCGCGAAAGCUGGGGGAGCGAACAGGAUUAGAUACCCUGGUAGUCCCAGCCGUAAACGAUGAGCGCUGGGUGUGGGAGAUUACAUCUUCCGUGCCGAAGCUAACGCAUUAAGCGCUC